AACGAACGCUGGCGGCAUGCCUAACACAUGCAAGUCGAACGAGACCUUCGGGUCUAGUGGCGCACGGGUGCGUAACGCGUGGGAACCUGCCUUUAGGUUCGGAAUAACUCAGAGAAAUUUGAGCUAAUACCGGAUAAUGUCUUCGGACCAAAGAUUUAUCGCCUUUAGAUGGGCCCGCGUUGGAUUAGCUAGUUGGUGGGGUAAAGGCCUACCAAGGCGACGAUCCAUAGCUGGUCUGAGAGGAUGAUCAGCCACACUGGGACUGAGACACGGCCCAGACUCCUACGGGAGGCAGCAGUGGGGAAUAUUGGACAAUGGGCGAAAGCCUGAUCCAGCAAUGCCGCGUGAGUGAUGAAGGCCUUAGGGUUGUAAAGCUCUUUUUACCCGACGAUGAUAAUGACAGUAUCGGGAGAAUAAGACUCCGGCUAACUCCGUGCCAGCAGCCGCGGUAA
Molecule: ribosomal RNA, 452 nt
Filed under: uncultured bacterium
Lineage: Bacteria
Description: bacterial SSU rRNA
Rfam family: Bacterial small subunit ribosomal RNA
Source: RNAcentral